CGCCCGGGGACUACGAGCGCAAACGCUUAAAACCCUAAGGGCUUGGCGGUGUCCCAAACCCCCCUAGAGGAGCCUGUUCUAUAAUCGAUAACCCACGCUACACCCCACCCCUCCUUGCCCGAGCAGCCUACAUACCGCCGUCGCCAGCCCACCUCGCAUGAUAGCACAACAGUGAGCACAACAGUUACCCCACUAACAAGACAGGUCAAGGUAUAGCCUAUGGAGGGGAAGAAAUGGGCUACAUUUUCUAACAUAGACCAUACACGAAAAAGGGCCUGAAAUAGCCCUUAGAAGGAGGAUUUAGCAGUUA
Molecule: ribosomal RNA, 310 nt
Filed under: Aulacorhynchus prasinus
Lineage: Eukaryota; Metazoa; Chordata; Aves; Piciformes; Ramphastidae
Description: partial 12S ribosomal RNA
Rfam family: Bacterial small subunit ribosomal RNA
Source: RNAcentral